Molecule: ribosomal RNA, 775 nt
Filed under: uncultured Neocallimastigales
Lineage: Eukaryota; Fungi; Neocallimastigomycota; Neocallimastigomycetes; Neocallimastigales
Description: partial large subunit ribosomal RNA
Rfam family: Eukaryotic large subunit ribosomal RNA
Source: RNAcentral
UACGACUACAUAUCAGGCAUAUCAAUAAGCGGAGGAAAAGAAACUAACAAGGAUUCCCCUAGUAACGGCGAGUGAAGCGGGAAGAGCUCAAAUUUGAAAUCUUAAAGGGUUUCCCUUUACGAAUUGUAGUUUAAAGAAGUGUUUUCUGUUGGAGUUUCGGUAAAAGUUCUUUGGAAUAGGACAUCAUAGAGGGUGAGAAUCCCGUAUUUGACCGUUACUUUCCAGCUGUGUGAUACACUUUCAAAGAGUCGGAUUGUUUGGGAAUGCAGUCCAAGAUGGGUGGUAAAUUUCAUCUAAAGCUAAAUAUUGGCGAGAGACCGAUAGCGAACAAGUACCGUGAGGGAAAGAUGAAAAGAACUUUGAAAAGAGAGUUAAACAGUACGUGAAAUUGUCAAAAGGGAAGCGUUUGACACCAGUGUUGUUUAGUUGAAAAUCAAUUCAAUAGUUUUUGAUUCUAAGUAGUAUUGACUUCAUCAGCUUGCUGCUUUCUUCUCAGAAAUUAUUGAAUGCACUUUUCAGUUAACAAGUCAACAUCAAUUUCUUUUGUUGUAAAAGGGUAAGAGGAAGGUGGCUUGCGCUUCGGCUCAAGUGUUUAUAGCCUUUUAUCUCUGCAAUCGGAGAGAUUGAGGUCUGCAGCGUAGAUCCUUCGGGGUUAGAUACAUUGGUGCUAAGCUAUAGCCUUGUAUAGACAACUUGUUGACUAUGCUCAGUCAUGUAGCUUACUCGCUGAUGCUAUUUUACCUACGCUUAGGAUGUUGAGUAGCGACAUACGCAC